AGCCGGGCUUAUUCGUACAGUACCUUCAGCUAUCUACACGUAGAUAGGUUUAUCCCUGUACAAAAGAAGUUUACAACCCAUAGGGCCGUCGUCCUUCACGCGGGAUGGCUGGAUCAGGCGCUAACCCAUUGUCCAAUAUUCCUCACUGCUGCCUCCCGUAGGAGUCUGGUCCGUGUCUCAGUACCAGUGUGGGGGAUCACCCUCUCAGGCCCCCUAAAGAUCAUCGACUUGGUGAGCCGUUACCUCACCAACUAUCUAAUCUUGCGCGUGCCCAUCUCUAUCCACCUCAGUUUUCAAUAAUAAAUGAUGCCAUCUAUUAUAUUAUGGAGUAUUAAUCUUCCUUUCGAAAGGCUAUCCCCCUGAUAAAGGCAGGUUGCACACGUGUUCCGCACCCGUACGCCGCUCUCAAGAUCCCGAAAGAUCUCUACCGCUCAGCUUGCAUGUGUUAGGCCUCCCGCUAGCGUUCAUCCUGAGCCAGGAUCAAACUNUGUUG
RNAcentral lists this ribosomal RNA (493 nucleotides) under Flavobacterium sp. A14. RNAcentral describes it as "partial 16S ribosomal RNA". The record is from RNAcentral. Lineage: Bacteria; Pseudomonadati; Bacteroidota; Flavobacteriia; Flavobacteriales; Flavobacteriaceae.